Molecule: transfer RNA, 65 nt
Filed under: Xenoturbella churro
Lineage: Eukaryota; Metazoa; Xenacoelomorpha; Xenoturbellidae
Description: tRNA-Asp
Rfam family: tRNA
About the family: Transfer RNA (tRNA) molecules are approximately 80 nucleotides in length.
Source: RNAcentral
AAUAAUUUAGUUUAAAUUAAAACACUUGAUUGUCAAUCAAGAAAAGCUACAAUGUAGUAAUUGUU